GGACCCAUGGCGCAAUGGUAGCGCGUUCGACUCCAGCGAGACAUCGAAAGGUUAUCCGUUCAAAUCGGGUUGGGUUCA
Colletotrichum gloeosporioides is the source of this 78-nucleotide non-coding RNA. Lineage: Eukaryota; Fungi; Ascomycota; Sordariomycetes; Glomerellales; Glomerellaceae. The record is from Rfam.